CUCAUUUCACGGUUUCCUCCGCUCUUUGUUUCUUUAUUAUAAUCAAACCUUUUUCUUGCCACGUCAAUACCUGUCUGCGUAAAAGCGGUCUUUUUAAAUUUGACGCCGUCGGGUAAGUCUGUAAGUAUUACUUUUUAUCGUGAUUAUUCCUUUUAUUUACAUUCUAUAAUUUUUGCUUUAUAUCUUGCAGUCAUUUUGUUAAUUUUUAUAGCUAUACUAAUACAGUUGAACUUAGGCUUACGAUUAUUGAUUCGAAUGUAUACAAAUUGGGAUUGAGACAAGUUCUGAAAUUAAUGAGAUGAAUCUGGAUGCAAAUCCUAGAUUGUAUUUGUAUUCAUACAACACGAGCGAAAUAAGCCACUUACACAAAUAAAAAUGCAUUUCUAUAACCUAAAACACCGCCGUAAAAAUGCGAAAAGACGGACAACUCACCAGGCCUCUCUGUAGUCGAGUUGUCUCUGGUGAGUUGUACGUGUAGUCGAGUUGUCCGUCAGCCCGAUGAUCAUAAGAGAUAAUGUUAUUCUUUCUGUUAGGUCAUAGCUUAGUACUGAAUGAUUCGUGAUGUGUAAUUAUUGAAUUGAAGACGACAGCGCAAACGAGAGCAGGCGAUCAAGAACAAGGAAAUGUUCUAGUCAAAACAGUUUCAAUCGGAUUUAUUCAAACAAUUCAAGGAUGUAAACAAUCCUUAAAUGUUGAUAUCAGCAACUGCUGGAGUGGAACAGGAAAUGCGAAUAUAAAAUUAGUUGCGACUGUCUCUGGUCAUAGCUUAGUACUGAAUGAUUCGUGAUGUGUAAUUAUUGAAUUGAAGACGACAGCGCAAACGAGUGCAGACGAUCAAGAACAAGGAAAUGUUCUAGUCAAAACAGUUUCAAUCGGAUUUAUUCCAACAAUUGAAGGAUGUAAACAAUCUUUAAAUGUUGAUAUCAGCAACUGCUGGAGUGGAACAGGAAAUGCGAAUAUAAAAUUAGUUGCGACUGUGGCAUUAGAUUGAGAUUGAUGACAACAUAUAUGUGCUGAAUAAAAACCUUAACGUAGAAGCGGUUAUGCGGGAAUGUUUGGCUAUUUUGAAGGCUCAUCGCUUGUAUUUAAUAUGAUAUAUCAUUCAAGUUUUUUUUUAUCUGUGCCAAAAAAUCGUCUAGGUCCAAGCUGCCAUCGUCAGGUAAGAACAGUAAAUCCAUUAUUUAUUCUGAUUUUGUUUUUCAAAAGAAUUGACUGCAUCCGUGUGUCGCUCGUGUUAUAUUGAAUAUUUCAUCACGUUGAUUCCCCUAACACAGUAACUUCUUAACUUCUACUAUCACAGCUAUAAUAUUAUACUAAACUAAAAUUAGAUCUAGAUUAAUAUUAAUUCAAAUUACUACAAAUUGGAAAUGCGACAGCAAGGUCUGAAACUUUUCAAAAUGGAACGAAAAUGGAAGAUAUAAUAAGCAUACGCCAGGAAUCUUUCGAUAUUAUCGAAAGGCUCAUUGAUGUAAAAUAUUUGAAUCAAAGGCUUCCGAAGGAUAUCGACCAAAUUAAUACGGUAACUGUUUAUAUGCAGUAAUAAGUGCACAAGAUAAAUCAAGAUUGGCGCGGGGUGUGGCUCAUCGUGC
This is a non-coding RNA of Styela clava, 1589 nucleotides long. Lineage: Eukaryota; Metazoa; Chordata; Ascidiacea; Stolidobranchia; Styelidae. The record is from RefSeq and is a predicted model, not a curated record.